GACGAACGCUGGCGGCGUGCUUAACACAUGCAAGUCGAACGGAAAGGCCCUGCUUUUGUGGGGUGCUCGAGUGGCGAACGGGUGAGUAACACGUGAGUAACCUGCCCUUGACUUUGGGAUAACUUCAGGAAACUGGGGCUAAUACCGGAUAGGAGCUCCUGCUGCAUGGUGGGGGUUGGAAAGUUUCGGCGGUUGGGGAUGGACUCGCGGCUUAUCAGCUUGUUGGUGGGGUAGUGGCUUACCAAGGCUUUGACGGGUAGCCGGCCUGAGAGGGUGGCCGGCCACAUUGGGACUGAGAUACGGCCCAGACUCCUACGGGAGGCAGCAGUGGGGAAUAUUGCACAAUGGGCGGAAGCCUGAUGCAGCAACGCCGCGUGCGGGAUGACGGCCUUCGGGUUGUAAACCGCUUUCGCCUGUGACGAAGCGUGAGUGACGGUAAUGGGUAAAGAAGCACCGGCUAACUACGUGCCAUCAGCCGCGGUGAUACGUAGGGUGCGAGCGUUGUCCGGAUUUAUUGGGCGUAAGGGGCUCGUAGGUGGUUGAUCGCGUCGGAAGUGUAAUCUUGGGGCUUAACCCUGAGCGUGCUUUCGAUACGGGUUGACUUGAGGAAGGUAGGGGAGAAUGGAAUUCCUGGUGGAGCGGUGGAAUGCGCAGAUAUCAGGAGGAACACCAGUGGCGAAGGCGGUUCUCUGGGCCUUUCCUGACGCUGAGGAGCGAAAGCGUGGGGAGCGAACAGGCUUAGAUACCCUUGGUAGUCCACGCUGUAAACGGUGGGUACUAGGUGUGGGGUCCAUUCCACGGGUUCCGUGCCGUAGCUAACGCUUUAAGUACCCCGCCUGGGGAGUACGGCCGCAAGGCUAAAACUCAAAGGAAUUGACGGGGCCCCGCACAAGCGGCGGAGCAUGCGGAUUAAUUCGAUGCAACGCGUAGAACCUUACCUGGGUUUGACAUGGAUCGGAAGCGCUCAGAGAUGGGUGUGCCUCUUUUGGGGUCGGUUCACAGGUGGUGCAUGGCUGUCGUCAGCUCGUGUCGUGAGAUGUUGGGUUAAGUCCCGCAACGAGCGCAACCCUUGUUCACUGUUGCCAGCACGUUAUGGUGGGGACUCAGUGGAGACCGCCGGGGUCAACUCGGAGGAAGGUGGGGAUGACGUCAAGUCAUCAUGCCCCUUAUGUCCAGGGCUUCACGCAUGCUACAAUGGCUGGUACAGAGAGUGGCGAGCCUGUGAGGGUGAGCGAAUCUCGGAAAGCCGGUCUCAGUUCGGAUUGGGGUCUGCAACUCGACCUCAUGAAGUCGGAGUCGCUAGUAAUCGCAGAUCAGCAACGCUGCGGUGAAUACGUUCCCGGG
RNAcentral lists this ribosomal RNA (1344 nucleotides) under uncultured bacterium. RNAcentral's name for it is "16S ribosomal RNA". It matches the Rfam family "Bacterial small subunit ribosomal RNA", at positions 28 to 1378 of the family's 1533-position model. The record is from RNAcentral.